This 837-nucleotide long non-coding RNA is filed under the name Nicotiana tabacum (common tobacco). RNAcentral's name for it is "long non-coding RNA (NTAB_LNC001066)". Lineage: Eukaryota; Viridiplantae; Streptophyta; Magnoliopsida; Solanales; Solanaceae. The record is from RNAcentral.
CAAUCAAUACAUAUCCAAAGCAUACUGACCAACUAGGCAACUCCGGAGCAAGUAGAGUGCACCAACACCUUCGCUGAGCUGAUAGCCUACUAGGAGGACUGUCAACCUAUCAAUCGGGACCUUGUAUAUUCUUCCCAACCUCAAGCUAUGCAAUUUCACGGCUCCUUAGUCUACAAUAAGAGAAAUGACACUCUCGUUAUUGUUUAAGCGUCGUAACUAUUAUGUAUCGACCACAACCUAUUUUACAAUGAAACAGACAGAACCUCCCCUAUAUAUAUGACUUCACACUAGUCAAAACAAUCACAAACAGCCCAACAUACCCCUAUCACUUCAUACACAACACGACAACCAUAAUAGUGUCAACCAACCCGAAAAUGUUACGACGAACGACCAACAAACAACCUUGCCAUUAUGUGGUGUUUCUCUACAACCUCCUUCCUCUCAAUUCCAUAAAAAUAGUAGUAAAAGAGACAACCCAAUACCAACACGAAACAUCCCAAAAAUAUUCCCACAAGUUCAGCAACUCAAAAAUAAUUUUUCAGUUUACUUAAACACAUUUCGACUUGUCUUUUCUUUCAAAUUGGGAAAUACAACUAAAAGUACAUAAUUAUACCUCUUAUACAAUAAACCUGCCAUGAAUUCCACUUAAAAAUAAGUUUACAACCAGCCAACCAUUAUACAAGAACAAACAACAUACCAUUCUUUCAAAACUAGCUAGGUCUCGAGUUACAACUCGCAAACGCAUAGAUAAUAGAAGGAGAAGCAUAAACUUACCUUGUACUGAGUAUAACCCAUGAAACCUGGUCCAUUUUCAUCAAAAAUAAGUUCCUCAACACG